CGGGUGAGUAACGCGUGAGGAACCUGCCUCAAAGAGGGGGACAACAGUUGGAAACGACUGCUGAUACCGCAUAAGCCCACGGCUCGGCAUCGAGCAGAGGGAAAAGGAGCAAUCCGCUUUGAGAUGGCCUCGCGUCCGAUUAGCUAGUUGGUGAGGUAACGGCCCACCAAGGCGACGAUCGGUAGCCGGACUGGGAGGUUGAACGGCCACAUUGGGACUGAGACACGGCCCAG
Molecule: ribosomal RNA, 233 nt
Filed under: uncultured bacterium
Lineage: Bacteria
Description: partial 16S ribosomal RNA
Rfam family: Bacterial small subunit ribosomal RNA
Source: RNAcentral